Molecule: ribosomal RNA, 465 nt
Filed under: uncultured bacterium
Lineage: Bacteria
Description: partial 16S ribosomal RNA
Rfam family: Bacterial small subunit ribosomal RNA
Source: RNAcentral
GACGAACGCUGGCGGCGUGCUUAACACAUGCAAGUCGAACGGAAAGGCCCUGCUUGCAGGGUACUCGAGUGGCGAACGGGUGAGUAACACGUGGGUGAUCUGCCCUGCACUUCGGGAUAAGACUGGGAAACUGGGUCUAAUACCGGAUAGGAGCCAUUUUUAGUGUGAUGGUUGGAAAGUAUUUUCGGUGUAGGAUGAGCUCGCGGCCUAUCAGCUUGUUGGUUGGGUAAUGGCCUACCAAGGCGGCGACGGGUAGCCGGCCUGAGAGGGUGGACGGCCACAUUGGGACUGAGAUACGGCCCAGACUCCUACGGGAGGCAGCAGUGGGGAAUAUUGCACCAUGGGCGCAAGCCUGAUGCAGCGACGCCGCGUGGGGGAUGACGGGCUUCGGGUUGUAAACGCCUUUCGCUAGGGACGAAGCUUUUUGUGACGGUACCUAGAUAAGAAGCACCGGCUAACUACGUG